CCCCUGCAUACUUUCUGUCACUUUUUAGGUA
Molecule: non-coding RNA, 31 nt
Filed under: Mus musculus (house mouse)
Lineage: Eukaryota; Metazoa; Chordata; Mammalia; Rodentia; Muridae
Source: RNAcentral